AAGUUUCUGUACAUCCAUAGAAAAAAUUAAAAAGAAGAAAAAAUGACAACACGUUAUAGAAUUCAACAUGAACGUCCCCUCACAACAGAAUCAACGUUUUCUACUUUGGGGAAUGGCAUCAAAAAGUUAAUUCCUCUUAUCAAGGGUAUU
This is a long non-coding RNA of Amblyraja radiata (thorny skate), 150 nucleotides long. RefSeq lists it as uncharacterized. The transcript has 3 exons. Lineage: Eukaryota; Metazoa; Chordata; Chondrichthyes; Rajiformes; Rajidae. The record is from RefSeq and is a predicted model, not a curated record.